UGGGGAAUAUUGCACAAUGGGGGAAACCCUGAUGCAGCGACGCCGCGUGAGCGAAGAAGUAUUUCGGUAUGUAAAGCUCUAUCAGCAGGGAAGAAACUGACGGUACCUGACCAAGAAGCACCGGCUAAAUACGUGCCAGCAGCCGCGGUAAUACGUAUGGUGCAAGCGUUAUCCGGAUUUACUGGGUGUAAAGGGAGCGUAGACGGAUAGGCAAGUCUGGAGUGAAAACCCGGGGCUCAACCCCGGGACUGCUUUGGAAACUGUUUAUCUGGAGUGCUGGAGAGGUAAGUGGAAUUCCUAGUGUAGCGGUGAAAUGCGUAGAUAUUAGGAGGAACACCAGUGGCGAAGGCGGCUUACUGGACAGUAACUGACGUUGAGGCUCGAAAGCGUGGGGAGCAAACA
Molecule: ribosomal RNA, 402 nt
Filed under: uncultured bacterium
Lineage: Bacteria
Description: bacterial SSU rRNA
Rfam family: Bacterial small subunit ribosomal RNA
Source: RNAcentral